AACAGCUUGCUGUUUCGCUGACGAGUGGCGGACGGGUGAGUAAUGUCUGGGAAACGGCCUGAUGGAGGGGGAUAACUACUGGAAACGGUAGCUAAUACCGCAUAACGUCGCAAGACCAAAGAGGGGGACCUUCGGGCCUCUUGCCAUCAGAUGUGCCCAGAUGGGAUUAGCUAGUAGGUGGGGUAACGGCUCACCUAGGCGACGAUCCCUAGCUGGUCUGAGAGGAUGACCAGCCACACUGGAACUGAGACACGGUCCAGACUCCUACGGGAGGCAGCAGUGGGGAAUAUUGCACAAUGGGCGCAAGCCUGAUGCAGCCAUGCCGCGUGUAUGAAGAAGGCCUUCGGGUUGUAAAGUACUUUCAGCGGGGAGGAAGGGAGUAAAGUUAAUACCUUUGCUCAUUGACGUUACCCGCAGAAGAAGCACCGGCUAACUCCGUGCCAGCAGCCGCGGUAAUACGGAGGGUGCAAGCGUUAAUCGGAAUUACUGGGCGUAAAGCGCACGCAGGCGGUUUGUUAAGUCAGAUGUGAAAUCCCCGGGCUCAACCUGGGAACUGCAUCUGAUACUGGCAAGCUUGAGUCUCGUAGAGGGGGGUAGAAUUCCAGGUGUAGCGGUGAAAUGCGUAGAGAUCUGGAGGAAUACCG
This 644-nucleotide ribosomal RNA is filed under the name uncultured Pseudomonadota bacterium. RNAcentral's name for it is "bacterial SSU rRNA". It matches the Rfam family "Bacterial small subunit ribosomal RNA", at positions 74 to 711 of the family's 1533-position model. The record is from RNAcentral. Lineage: Bacteria; Pseudomonadati; Pseudomonadota.